Molecule: ribosomal RNA, 301 nt
Filed under: uncultured bacterium
Lineage: Bacteria
Description: partial 16S ribosomal RNA
Rfam family: Bacterial small subunit ribosomal RNA
Source: RNAcentral
CAGUAGCCGCGGGAAUACGAAGGGUGCAAGCGUUAAUCGGAAUUACUGGGCGUAAAGGGUGCGUAGGCGGUUAGUUAAGUCUGUCGUGAAAUCCCCGGGCUCAACCUGGGAAUGGCGAUGGAUACUGGUUGGCUAGAGUGUGUCAGAGGAUGGUGGAAUUUCCGGUGUAGCGGUGAAAUGCGUAGAUAUCGGAAGGAACACCUGUGGCGAAAGCGGCUCACUGGACCAUAACUGACGCUGAGGCGCGAAAGCUAGGGGAGCAAACAGGAUUAGAUACCCGAGUAGUCCCUGUCUCUUAUAA